This is a long non-coding RNA of Anoplophora glabripennis (Asian longhorned beetle), 447 nucleotides long. RefSeq lists it as uncharacterized. Lineage: Eukaryota; Metazoa; Arthropoda; Insecta; Coleoptera; Cerambycidae. The transcript is spliced from 3 exons. The record is from RefSeq and is a predicted model, not a curated record.
UUCUUAAAAAUUGCAGACGUUCUAGUACACAACAUAACCGACUAUAAAAUUUGUAUUCUUUAGUGAAAAUACUUGUUCAGAUCAAAAUGAGAAUUUUAUUUUAUAGUGUAUUUUUUCUCUGCGUAAUAUUCGUUGUGUUGAGUGCCACAUUAGGUACACGUCACAAAAGAAGGAUUCGUUUUCCUCGUUUUCCAGUACACUGUCCCUAUGGUCGGAUAUGGGUGAAAGGACAAUGUAUUGAAAUGAUGUUAACGGAUUUUAGUCCCAUAAGAAAAGCAUAGGACCCCCCUGAGAUCCUCACUUCCCUCGGACCCCGACAUACCUCCUUAAACAAUUGAAGGAUUGGUAACCCGCUCCCUUUCCUAUAACGUACCACUGAGGAUCCAAGUAACCAGCUUUUUUAUAUUGUCUGCAAUUAUGUAAACGCAAUAAAAUUGUUUAGAAGCA